This 611-nucleotide ribosomal RNA is filed under the name uncultured bacterium. RNAcentral describes it as "bacterial SSU rRNA". It matches the Rfam family "Bacterial small subunit ribosomal RNA", at positions 46 to 674 of the family's 1533-position model. The record is from RNAcentral.
GCCUAACACAUGCAAGUCGAACGAGAACCCAUUCUUCGGAUUGGGGGACAGUGGCGAACGGGUGAGUAACACGUUGGUGACCUGCCCCGAAGACGGGAACAACCCUUCGAAAGGGGGGUUAAUGCCCGAUGUGCUUGCGUCUCUUAGAAGGACACAAGUAAAGCUCCGGCGCUUCGGGAGGGGCCAGCGGCCUAUCAGCUAGUUGGUGAGGUAACGGCUCACCAAGGCUAAGACGGGUAGGGGGCGUGAGAGCGCGAUCCCCCACAAUGGAACUGAGACACGGUCCAUACUCCUCCGGGAGGCAGCAGUGAGGAAUCUUGCACAAUGGGGGCAACCCUGAUGCAGCAACGCCGCGUGGGUGACGAAGGCUUUCGAGUCGUAAAACCCUUUUCUGGGGGAAGAGAAAGGACGGUACCUCAGGAAUAAGUCCCGGCUAACUACGUGCCAGCAGCCGCGGUAAAACGUAGGGGGCGAGCGUUAUCCGGAAUUAUUGGGCGUAAAGCGCGUGUAGGCGGCUUGGUAGGUUGGACGUGAAAGCUCCUGGCUCAACUGGGAGAGGUCGUUCAAAACCGCCAGGCUUGAGGACGGAAGAGGAAAGUGGAAUUCCCGGU